This 491-nucleotide ribosomal RNA is filed under the name uncultured bacterium. RNAcentral describes it as "partial 16S ribosomal RNA". It matches the Rfam family "Bacterial small subunit ribosomal RNA", at positions 28 to 506 of the family's 1533-position model. The record is from RNAcentral.
GAUGAACGCUAGCUACAGGCUUAACACAUGCAAGUCGAGGGGCAGCGGUAUCGAAAGCUUGCUUUCGGUAGCCGGCGACCGGCGCACGGGUGAGUAACGCGUAUCGAACCUGCCUCAUACUCGGGAAUAGCCUUGCGAAAGUAAGAUUAAUGCCCGGUGUUUUCAGAGUCCCGCAUGAGGCUUUGAACAAAGAUUUAUCGGUAUGAGAUGGCGAUGCGUCCCAUUAGCUUGUUGGCGGGGUAACGGCCCACCAAGGCAUCGAUGGGUAGGGGUUCUGAGAGGAAGGUCCCCCACAUUGGAACUGAGACACGGUCCAAACUCCUACGGGAGGCAGCAGUGAGGAAUAUUGGUCAAUGGGCGGAAGCCUGAACCAGCCAAGUAGCGUGCAGGAAGACGGCCCUCCGGGUUGUAAACUGCUUUUAGUCGGGAAUAAAACGGGGCUCGUGAGCCCCCUUGCAUGUACCAUCAGAAAAAGGACCGGCUAAUUCCGU